This 61-nucleotide microRNA precursor is filed under the name Strongylocentrotus purpuratus (purple sea urchin). RNAcentral's name for it is "Spu-Mir-2011_pre stem-loop". Lineage: Eukaryota; Metazoa; Echinodermata; Echinoidea; Camarodonta; Strongylocentrotidae. The record is from RNAcentral.
CAGUCACUACCACACCUUCGGUGGCUUUUUAUAGCUUCACCAAGGUGUGCUAGUGAUGACA